UCGAGCGGAAAGAGUCUCUUCGGAGAUACUCGAGUGGCGAACGGGUGAGUAACACGUGGGUGAUCUGCCCUGCACUUCGGGAUAAACCUGGGAAACUGGGUCUAAUACCGGAUAGGACCACGGGAUGCAUGUCUUGUGGUGGAAAGCGCUUUAGCGGUGUGGGAUGAGCCCGCGGCCUAUCAGCUUGUUGGUGGGGUGACGGCCUACCAAGGCGACGACGGGUAGCCGGCCUGAGAGGGUGUCCGGCCACACUGGGACUGAGAUACGGCCCAGACUCCUACGGGAGGCAGCAGUGGGGAAUAUUGCACAAUGGGCGCAAGCCUGAUGCAGCGACGCCGCGUGGGGGAUGACGGCCUUCGGGUUGUAAACCUCUUUCACCAUCGACGAAGGUCCGGGUUCUCUCGGAUUGACGGUAGGUGGAGAAGAAGCACCGGCCAACUACGUGCCAUCAGCCGCGGUAAUACGUAGGGUGCGAGCGUUGUCCGGAAUUACUGGGCGUAAAGAGCUCGUAGGUGGUUUGUCGCGUUGUUCGUGAAAUCUCACGGCUUAACUGUGAGCGUGCGGGCGAUACGGGCAGACUAGAGUACUGCAGGGGAGACUGGAAUUCCUGGUGUAGCGGUGGAAUGCGCAGAUAUCAGGAGGAACACCGGUGGCGAAGGCGGGUCUCUGGGCAUUAACUGACGCUGAGGAGCGAAAGCGUGGGGAGCGAACAGGAUUAGAUACCCUGGGUAGUCCACGCCGUAAACGGUGGGUACUAGGUGUGGGUUUCCUUCCUUGG
This 778-nucleotide ribosomal RNA is filed under the name Mycobacterium tuberculosis. Its description in RNAcentral is "bacterial SSU rRNA". It matches the Rfam family "Bacterial small subunit ribosomal RNA", at positions 62 to 837 of the family's 1533-position model. Lineage: Bacteria; Bacillati; Actinomycetota; Actinomycetes; Mycobacteriales; Mycobacteriaceae. The record is from RNAcentral.